CCUACGGGUGGCUGCAGUCGAGAAUCAUUCACAAUGGGCGAAACCCUGAUGGUGCGACGCCGCGUGGGGGAAUGAAGGUCUUCGGAUUGUAAACCCCUGUCAUGUGGGAGCAAAUUAAAAAGAUAGUACCACAAGAGGAAGAGACGGCUAACCCUGGGCCAGCAGCCGCGGUAAUACAGAGGUCUCAAGCGUUGUUCGGAAUCACUGGGCGUAAAGCGUGCGUAGGCUGUUUCGUAAGUCGUGUGUGAAAGGCGCGGGCUCAACCCGCGGACGGCACAUGAAACUGGGAGACUAGAGUUAUGGGUGGGGAGCCGGAAUUCUGGGUGUAGCAGUGAAAUGCGUAGAUAUCGGGAGGAACACUGGGGGCGAAGGCGGGUUCCGGGAGCUUAACUGACGCUGAGGCGCGAAGGCCGGGGGAGCGAACAGGAUUAGAUACCCCUGUAGUC
RNAcentral lists this ribosomal RNA (446 nucleotides) under uncultured bacterium. RNAcentral's name for it is "partial 16S ribosomal RNA". It matches the Rfam family "Bacterial small subunit ribosomal RNA", at positions 338 to 795 of the family's 1533-position model. The record is from RNAcentral.